UGACGAGCUUGCUCUGAUUUGAUUUUAUCUGACAAAGAGUGGCGAACGGGUGAGUAACACGUGGGUAACCUACCUCUUAGCAGGGGAUAACAUUUGGAAACAAGUGCUAAUACCGUAUAAUACCAACAACCGCAUGGUUGUUGGUUGAAAGAUGGUUCUGCUAUCACUAAGAGAUGGACCCGCGGUGCAUUAGCUAGUUGGUAAGGUAACGGCUUACCAAGGCAAUGAUGCAUAGCCGAGUUGAGAGACUGAUCGGCCACAAUGGGACUGAGACACGGCCCAUACUCCUACGGGAGGCAGCAGUAGGGAAUCUUCCACAAUGGGCGCAAGCCUGAUGGAGCAACGCCGCGUGUGUGAUGAAGGGUUUCGGCUCGUAAAACACUGUUAUAAGAGAAGAACGGCACUGAGAGUAACUGUUCAGUGUGUGACGGUAUCUUACCAGAAAGGAACGGCUAAAUACGUGCCAGCAGCCGCGGUAAUACGUAUGUUCCAAGCGUUAUCCGGAUUUAUUGGGCGUAAAGCGAGCGCAGACGGUUAUUUAAGUCUGAAGUGAAAGCCCUCAGCUCAACUGAGGAAUGGCUUUGGAAACUGGAUGACUUGAGUGCAGUAGAGGAAAGUGGAACUCCAUGUGUAGCGGUGAAAUGCGUAGAUAUAUGGAAGAACACCAGUGGCGAAGGCGGCUUUCUGGACUGUAACUGACGUUGAGGCUCGAAAGUGUGGGUAGCAAACAGGAUUAGAUAC
RNAcentral lists this ribosomal RNA (741 nucleotides) under Weissella paramesenteroides. Its description in RNAcentral is "bacterial SSU rRNA". It matches the Rfam family "Bacterial small subunit ribosomal RNA", at positions 60 to 785 of the family's 1533-position model. Lineage: Bacteria; Bacillati; Bacillota; Bacilli; Lactobacillales; Lactobacillaceae. The record is from RNAcentral.